CAUCCUCUACGCCGUCGCUAUCGCCCCUUUCUUUUCGACUCAUUUUUUCGGUGAUGCCGUUCGCCCCACACUCCCCUGCAGCGGUGGAGGGUCGUUCCCCCCUUGACAGGGAUCGUUUACGCUCUGUGGGUGGAUUUUCGGAGUUGUACGAUUCCUCCAAAUCGGCCGUCGCCGAUGCCUUUUCCGUUUAUGAUUUAUCUGGAUCUACUACCGUGGACACUAAUCCCAUGGUGCUCCAUGGAUACGCCCCUGAUUCGGAGCCGGAGGUUGAUUCCAGUGUUGCCCUUGUUCGAGCCAGCCGAUCGCUGUUUCGGAUACCUUUUUCGUCGACCCAGGGUAGGAUUGAAGUGGCUCCAUUGAGUUGCUCUUCUAUCCGUGGAAUUGUCAUCGAUAUGCUUCGUAUAUAAUGCCCUCUCGCCGUCGAGCCACAGGAGUACUGUGUUGGAGGCGAAAUUGAAAAUCAUUUGGGGUCAAUGAUUUACUAUCCUACAUGUUGGAUGGUAUAAUCUCUACAGGUGAGGUAAAAAUCGAUAUACUUGUUGCGAAAAAUUGUAGCUUACUUGAUUGUCCCUGAUUAUGUGUGUGUGCAAAAUUUGUGUGGCAAGUCAUUGUUGGUUUUGGGUAUGAAUAGCUUGAGAUGAUGAAAAUUUUAAGCCACUAGUGAUUUGAAUCAGUAGGUGGUUCACUGUUGCAUAAAAAUGAGCUUUUGGAGACUUAUACCUAGUAUAAAAUCAUCGCUUGUCCAACGUGAGCACGAUCCUUUACUUGAUUCAAUACAUUUCUUAACAAUGUAUUGAAUUCAGGCAUUCAAUGAUCUAUACAUUGAGAGAAUGCUUUAACAUUGUCCCUUGUACUCGAUGAUGAUUUUAUAAUCUGAGAGUGAAAGUCCCGUCUCCCUAAAUUACCUCAUUGAUCAGGACCAAAAUUCAAACAAAAUAGCCUGAAAAAAUUUACUGCUAUGCACUCGGUGAUGAUUUUAUAAUCUGAGAGUGUUAAAGGUUCCUGUACAAAACAUAACAAUGUAGCACAACUGUAACUGAAUUUAAAGAGAUUACAUUACAACUGCAAAGUGCUGUUUCAAUAUAGCAUUUUGUGAGUUGUAAUGAAACUCAUAUACAAAAGGGAAAGUAGUUACAAAAACUUUCCUAUGGCUACUAAUUACAAAAGAUAUUAAUAUUUACAAAUGAGGAAAUACCUCUGUUCUUCAAAUCAGUUCCUCGAUGGCAGUCAUUAGUUCUUCGAAACAUUCUGCUUCAUUUGCUUCUAUUAAUGUAUCAAUGGAUGCCUUGAUCAACUCCCGGUCAAUCUCUAGGUUUGUGGGAAGUGUAUUGUUUCUUAUCAUCGCAGAUUUACCAAUAUGAGGAAUCUUGUAGUUGUUGCCCCCAUUGCAUGCCAUUAUUUCCUUAAGACAACCUUGUAAGCUUAGGAAAACAUUGUUUAAAGUUGUGCCAGAUAGUUGGUCAAAAGAUCUAUGCACUGCCUAUAAAAGUUCAUCUAUGUUUGAUGCUAUGGUUGAAACUUGUAGUAAUUGUAGUGCUCGAAACCACCCCAAAUCAUUUAUAUUUGUGUCAGGAUUGUUUGAUGGUUGAAAAGUAAGAUGGAUAUCAAAUCCAUCACUGCCUGCAGCUUUCCUAAAGUCCGGAUCGUUGUCAUCAAUGUGUGGUUUGGCAUUGUUUUGUUGUAUUAAAAUGCUUUUGCUUGCUCUUGCUGGCCAUUUCGCUUUAAUCAAUGGAAGUAACUGCAUAUAUUUGGAAAUGCAUUAAUGUGAAACUCAUACUCAUCUAUAUUCAUAUGUAAAAGUGGUAAUACCUUGUUGAUUAUUAGUGCCUUGGUGACUUCCUUUGUGAUUGAAUCCAUUGGCUUCGUUUCUAAGGUGCCAGCAGGUCGGUUUUUUGAUUUAUUUCGGGCUGGAACUUGUCUUGUGAAAGGAAAAAUACCUAUUUUUUCAUAAUAAAUACAUUGCACUUCUUUUCCAUAUAAGGGUGUGCUCACAGCACAUAGGAACAUUACCUUUGUAAUAAACCUUUUGCUUUGGCAGACCCUAUAAGGAUCAAACUCGUCAGGGGUGAGAUAAUAUUUUUUAGUGUUACGAGUAAUAUAAAACCAUUUUUCGUCUAUGUGUAGAACAUUAGACAUGCUCUUAAACUUGAUGACACUCAUAUCCUGGCCCACUUCGACAUGAUUCAGACUAAAUCUCAGUCUGCUGAUUCUGUUGGUUGUUGUCAAUGCUGGUUUUAUGGCAUUACUAUGGUGCCUGAUCAGACCAUUUUUGGCCCACCUUCCGACAGUGGACUUGCUAACACAUAUUUCAUGUGCCACGCUAUGAUAACUGCCUCGCUUACUGUACGGAAUUUUUUGCAUGGCUGAGUUGUCGAGAAUGUGUUUCUUUUCACGCCCUUUACCUAUUUUAUGGCUGUUUAAAUUGAUUGGCAUACCUGUCUUGCUGUUGCAUGGCUCUUUUCCAUAUUCUACGUACUACAUUGCGUGAAAUGCCGAAUUUGAUUGCUGCUUCAUUGAUCUUUCCAUGUGCGGGCCUUCGAUUCUUGUUGUUUUCUAACAAAAAUUGCGCUAUACUGUUGAGUUCCUCGCUCGUUAGAUUCUUCGUUCUCUUCAUUUGAGGUGAAAAAUUGAGAGAUGAAUGUAAUUGUUUACUGCACUGUCCGUGGCCACUAUAUGUUUGUGAAAAAUUUGUGUAUUUACAUCAUUUAAGUGUAUUAUUGUCUAUUUAUAUUAAUUAUGUAUUAAACAACUAUAUAU
Andrographis paniculata is the source of this 2757-nucleotide long non-coding RNA. RefSeq lists it as uncharacterized. The record is from RefSeq and is a predicted model, not a curated record. The transcript has 3 exons. Lineage: Eukaryota; Viridiplantae; Streptophyta; Magnoliopsida; Lamiales; Acanthaceae.